AGUAAAGUGGCGUACGGGUGAGUAACACGUGGAUAAUCUACCUCUUAGUGGGGAAUAACUCUGGGAAACCGGAGCUAAUACCGCAUAAGCCUGGAAAGGGAAAGCAGCAAUGCGCUGAGAGAGGAGUCCGCGGCCGAUUAGCUAGUUGGCAGGGUAAAAGCCUACCAAGGCAACGAUCGGUAGCCGGCCUGAGAGGGCACACGGCCACACUGGCACUGAAACACGGGCCAG
RNAcentral lists this ribosomal RNA (231 nucleotides) under uncultured bacterium. Its description in RNAcentral is "partial 16S ribosomal RNA". It matches the Rfam family "Bacterial small subunit ribosomal RNA", at positions 89 to 334 of the family's 1533-position model. The record is from RNAcentral.